This 160-nucleotide ribosomal RNA is filed under the name Haptocillium sp. Its description in RNAcentral is "partial large subunit ribosomal RNA". It matches the Rfam family "Eukaryotic large subunit ribosomal RNA", at positions 99 to 261 of the family's 3401-position model. The record is from RNAcentral. Lineage: Eukaryota; Fungi; Ascomycota; Sordariomycetes; Hypocreales; Ophiocordycipitaceae.
CGGCAACAGCUCAAAUUUGAAAUCUGGCCCCCAGGGCCCGAGUUGUAAUUUGCAGAGGAUGCUUUGGGCGCGGCGCCUUCCGAGUUUCUUGGAACAGAACGCCACAGAGGGUGAGAGCCCCGUCUGGUUGGACGCCUAGCCUAUGUAAAGCUCCUUCGAC